This 253-nucleotide ribosomal RNA is filed under the name uncultured bacterium. Its description in RNAcentral is "partial 16S ribosomal RNA". It matches the Rfam family "Bacterial small subunit ribosomal RNA", at positions 524 to 776 of the family's 1533-position model. The record is from RNAcentral.
UACAGAGGUGGCAAGCGUUGUUUGGAAUUACUGGGCGUAAAGGGCGCGUAGGCGGUUCGUUAAGUCCUGUGUGAAAUCCCCCGGCUCAACUGGGGAACUGCACAGGAAACUAGCGGGCUUGAGUUCGGGAGAGGGAUGCGGAAUUCCAGGUGUAGCGGUGAAAUGCGUAGAUAUCUGGAGGAACACCGGUGGCGAAGGCGGCAUCCUGGACCGGCAUUGACGCUGAGGAGCGAAAGCCAGGGGAGCAAACGGG